ACAGAAUGAGAUUACAAACAAGCUCUUCUACCUAACUCUUCCCCUCUCUCCUCCUAUUUGGACUAAAACUUUACAAAGACAAUUUAACAGAGGUUUUGCGAGGAAAUAGCCAUUUGAUUAGUUGAGGGACCAAGUCCAUGGCCAAGACAAAUCCUCUAAUCCGGUAACAAGGUCAGGAGUCGCGCGAAUUGGUUUUGGUGCAAUGAUUGCAGUGCCUUGACUUCCAGGCACAGAUGUAUUAGUCACUGGUGGUGUACUAAGAUGAGGAACACCUAUAAGUGGUAAAAAGAAAACAAUAUCAGGUUUAGCAUGAGUCAGACCAUCAAGGAAGUUAACCUUCUUCUUAUCUUGAUAAUUAAUAUAAUCUACUUUUGUUAAGCUAUGCUUAGCCAAUUGGCUCAUUAUCCUCAAAAUAUUUAUCCUAUUGGAGCAGUCAUCAGCAUAAAUAACAAGAAAUAAUAUCAAACAAUAAAAAGUAACUUGAUUAAUUAAGAAGUCAUAGAGUGCAAAAAGACAAAAUCAAAGUGCAUCCAAAUCCAACUUUUUUUUAUCAAGGAUCAUUUCAAGAUAUGAUUUAGUGAUCCAAGGUCCAUUGAUACCAAGCCUUAUUGCUUCUGUUCAGUCUGGAGAAAAUUAUGUUUUUCACUCAAUUGGAUAAGUAACUUAGCAUAUUAUUAAUAAAUAAAAUGCAUAAUUAGAGUAGGCAGCAAGGAUAUACACAGAAAUCCCUAGCCAAACAAGGUUUUUAAUGUGAAAGAGAAGGUAAGAAAAGAUACAGCAAAUGAAAUUGAGAAUAGUGCAAGAUCAUAACUGAUAGUUGAAAUACCAACGAGCUAGUUAGUAUCACAAUUGACACUAGGCCCAAGUUGUAACUCUAAUUGUUUCCACAGAAGUGGCACACAUCCAAAUGAAUGCAGCUGACAGGAUAAUUUUACAACUGAUGGGUGAAAACUUCAACAAAAUACUUAGGAGAAAACAAGAAGACUUUAUGAUCACUGAUAGAUCGAACCAAACUUGCCCUUCAAAAUCUCCUGAAAAAGUAACACCUACAAAAUAAAAUCUUAGGGACCAUUUAUCAAACAGUAGAAUAGAACCCAUUCGAAUUUCAGGGGAAAUUACAAGAGAAAGCUGCUAGGAAAUUGAAUAAGUAAACAGCUCUGGUAUGCAUUGCUUUAUCACGUUUCUGAUAAAACUUGUGUUCAAGAUCAAUCAUUGAGUUAAAAUUGUACUGUCAUAAUAGAAAGACAUAUACUUAAGUACCUGGUGGUCAGUAUAAUCCCCUAAAGGACAAAUUCGGUGGGGAGAUGCCACAAUUCGAACUUCCUUUUUCAUAACGCCUGCCAUGUUAGAAACUCUCUGUCUCACUUCAGCUACCUGCAGGUUGCACAAGAAUGAAUCACGACAUUUGAAAGAGUAUUGAAUCAGACUGGAUGUUUAAUCGAAAAGGCAAUUUUCACUUUUCAUUCUACAUUCUUAUUAUAUAUAUGUUUUUACGAAUUAUUCCACCACCACUGAAAUAUACAAUUCCUUAUUGAUUCUUAAAAUGCUCAGUAAACUCAACAGUAAACGAUCUUGGCAAGUUGUCAAAGAGUGUACCAGCAUAACCUUACAAAAUUAUAGGCAUGCUAAACAUUUACACUAUCAUAAUAUUAGCCAUUUUAACACAAUUCAGCAUAGUUUAACACAAUUCAUGGCACCAUAAUUAUCUGGUUAUCAAUCAAUCUUAUGUAUUUACCACAGCUGCAACAGAACAGAACCACAGCAGAAUGAUAGAAGUGCCUAGCUCCUACUGUAAUAAUUGAAAUUCAAGAGAAGUUGAAUGAGUAAAAACGUCUACAAGAACAUAGUAACCAAUUGUCAAAGACUCAAAACAGUUUUAAAUCCAUUCCACAAAAUGAAAAUUAGUAUCAUAUCACCAAGAAAUAAGAAGAAUCUAAAAUGAGAUUGAAAAAUAAAAAAAUUAACCCAGACCAAGGAGAGAAGAGAAUUAAAGAGGACGAGGAUGAGAAAUCCUUGUAAGAGCUUCCAACUAUGAACAAUAUAAAUAACUUCCAAUGCAAAACACAGUUUAGGCAUCUAAAGUGUGGAAACAAUACUACAAAUCACAAAUGAUUCAAAAGACACAAUUAUGACACCAUUACUAUGUACAUUCUCUUUGUUUCAAUUAGCAAAGAAGAGAGGCAACUUGCAAAUAGUGGAACCAAAAGAAAUAGCACUAUGAGUAUCAAUAACCUGACUUGAAAAAUACUAGACUUCCCUCCAAUACCCAUGGCCUCCAGAUCAAUUGCCAUACAAACAGUACUACUCCAAGGAUGCUAAAAAUGAAACCAAGUAAAAUAUAUAACACUAAUAAGUAAUGAAGAAGAACACAUGGUUCAUGGAAUUAAUAAACAAACAUAGAUUACAGCAGAAGCAAGUUUGACCAUCAAAACCAGUGCAUUCAGUUAUUUAUACCACACAAAUCUCAAAUCCAGCAUUUAAUUAUAUAUAAAAUGCAGUUAAAUAUACCAUCUCUAACAAUCAGAACCUAGAACCCUAACAACCAGAAACAAUACACAUUCAAAAGAUAAACUCCCAAAAUUAAAAACCCUAUAAUUGCAGAACCUCCCCAAUUCACAGAACCAAAUUUAGGAAAAACGAAACAUACCAUCUCUGUCUCGUUUGGCCAUUGUUGUUCAUCAUCAUCAUCAUAGCCACACACACCUUCUUCGACACUGAAACGAGAGAAGAAGUGAGGUAAUGAGCGAGAAAAAGAAGAUAGAGAUUGAAUUAGAGAAUGAUUACCUAGUGAGUGCACGAUGGUGAGCGACGAUGAUGAGCGCACGAGGCUUGCGACGAUUGGGAGCAGCGACAGUGAGCGCCCAAGGCGACGAUGGUGAGCGCACGAGACGACGAUGGCGAGUGGCGGUGACGGUGAGAGAUGAAGGAAGGUGAAGAACAGUGGUGGAGCUUAUGGGUGGCCAUGGCCCCCAAAUUUUUU
This 2980-nucleotide long non-coding RNA is filed under the name Arachis ipaensis. RNAcentral's name for it is "long non-coding RNA (AIPA_LNC001794)". The record is from RNAcentral. Lineage: Eukaryota; Viridiplantae; Streptophyta; Magnoliopsida; Fabales; Fabaceae.